Vicugna pacos (alpaca) is the source of this 4302-nucleotide non-coding RNA. The record is from RefSeq and is a predicted model, not a curated record. NCBI's taxonomy places the organism in Eukaryota, Metazoa, Chordata, Mammalia, Artiodactyla, Camelidae.
UGCCUUGGCAGCUUUCUCCAGUCUGUGGGGAUCCCAGGGUGCCCGUACACCAAGACUUCCCGAAGAUCUCGCUGACAGGAUCCUGUCCUCCUGAAGCCUGACCGCAGGAGUGAAAGCAUUUUGAUUCGUUCAUUCUGACAUUUCAUUCACGGUUUUGUUUUAUUUCGUUCGUUCAUUCAUUCCUUUUAUUCAGAUUAGUAAAUAGAUGCAGCCGGCACGGUCCUGAACGCUUGCUGUUCAGCAUGAUUUGUGGGUUCUUUCUAAAAAAUACCUCACACUCAGUGACCGAAUUGUUACCUGCUUCCUGACGAUGUUAGAUGACAAAGACUUUGGCUUAAAAAAAUGUCAAGUAAUCCAUUUGUGGUAACGUGGGGUGAACAGCGUCAGUUGCAAAAGGUCCGUUCUGAUGCACUAAAGACGUUUUCCUGGGGAUUAAUUCAAGGGGGAAGAAUGACUACAGCCGGCAGUCCUUACAAUCCACAGAGCACAGUCGACUUGGGCGCCCAGUACAUCACCUGCACUUCUCAUUAUGCCAAAAAACAUCAAAGCUUUUAUGAUGAACUGUUAGCUCGGGGCAUUUUGAAGCCUCUGAUCUCUCGUAUUGAAGGAAUAGUGAUAAAAGACGGAGACUGUAACUUUGUGGCACCUCAAGGAGUUUCUUCAAUUGUUAAUCAUUACUUGAAAGAAUCAGGUGCUGAAAUCUGCUUCAGACAACAUGUGACCCAGAUCAACCUGAGAAAUGACAAGUGGGAAGUCUCCAAGGAAACAGGCUCCCCUGAGCAGUUUGAUAUUGUUGUCCUCACGAUACCAGUUCCUCAGAUCCUGCAACUUCAAGGUGACAUCGCAAACUUAAUUAGUGAAAUCCAAAGGCAGCAACUGGAAUCUGUGAGCUACUCCUCUCGCUAUGCUCUGGGCCUCUUUUAUGAAGCUGGCACGAAGAUUGAUGUCCCUUGGGCUGGGCAGUACAUCACCAGUAAUCCCUGCAUUCGCUUCAUCUCCAUUGAUAAUAAGAAACGCAAUAUAGAGUCAUCAGAAAUCGGGCCUUCCCUUGUGGUUCACACCACUGUCCCAUUUGGAGUUGCACACUUGGAACAGAGCAUUGAGGAUGUGCAGAAGUUAAUCUUCCAGCAGCUGGAGAACAUUUUGCCUGGUUUGCCUCAGCCAGUUGCUACUAAAUGCCAGAAAUGGAGACAUUCACAGGUUACAAAAGCUGCAGCCAACUACCCAGGACAAAUGACUCUUCAUCGUAAACCUUUCCUUGUGUGUGGAGGGGAUGGGUUUACUCAGUCCAACUUUGAUGGCUGCGUCACUUCUGCCCUAUGUGUUCUGGAAGCUUUGAAGAGCCAUAUUUAGUACCUGUGUUCUUAUUCUCUACAGAAAUUGAAAUGGAUGUGGGAGUAUCUCGUGCUGGAAGCCAUCCCAGAGGGUCAUGAAACUCAGAUGGCCAGGAUGCCCUAAAAGACCCAGGCCGAAGGCAUCCGACUCCCCUGGGAAAUCGGGAGAGCUAACACUAAUCCUGAUGUGAUAUAUACAGGAGUCUACUAUGGAGUAAAGUCUCUGUAAGUAGUGCCUAAUGAUUUAUGUUCCUGUUAUUUUCAUUUGCUGGUUUAUUUCCUUCUCUGGGGGGCACUUGCUGUGAGAAAUGGCUGCAUCCUAAUGCAUCCCACUGAAUUUCAACCCAGCAGUAGUUGGUUGGUAGACAGGCUCCCUCUGCAUUCAGCCUUUCCUGCUGUACUCCUCUUUGUCUCUUCAGCCCCUUUGGUUCAUUUUCCUCUCCUCUGUCAGUUUCUCCCCUUUCUUACCCCCCUCCUCAUUUUUUCCUCCCGCUUCUUACCCUGUGUCCAGUUCUCCAUUCUCAGAAAUCUGGAAUAUAAAUGCAAUCACUUUAUGAUUCAUAGCAUUUGUAAUUUUGUGGUUUAGUCUCUCUCUUUUUUCCUAAAAUCUAAAGCAGUCAAUGCUGCUUUUUAUUCAAGUUGAUUGGACAGUCAUUAUUUUGAUUUGUCAAAAGUAAUGCAGGCGUUUAGAACCAUCUGUUGCUUUCAGGGAUCUCAAAGCUAAUAACCUAAAAAAUACAUGUAAAUCAUGGUGCCAGGCUUUCUAGGAUGAUUAGCCAUCUCCACCUAAAGAUGCUAGUUAGGGGAAGACAAGUCCCUUGGAGUGGGAGGCAGGGUAAAGUUACAUGCUGGUGUAACUGCAGACAGUAAAUACGAUGCUCUACCUCAUGAAGCUGGGAAUCCUAAGACAAAGAACCACGUUUCCCUGGGAGAGAGAGGGUCUCCAAACAGAAGCAGAGAUCUGUCAGGAAAACACAUUUGGCAACCUCCUUGCCCUCCUCACCUGCCCACACUGUGGGCAGAUCUGGCUGACUCCCGAACUCUAAACUGUGUAUCAGCGUGCUCAGGACAAGUGAGUACUUUCUGUAGAGAAGGCUCAGUAAGACACAGAAUGUGGUCUCUGGGAAAAGGAGAAUGCUUCUGCAAACCCAGCAGCAGCUUAGUCCUACAUCAGGCAGCAUCAUGUGGCAAGAUAAGCUGGGGAAGGUUAAAGUGGUCCUGUGUUUCUUUCUUAACAGAUAGUAAUUAUAGUCCGCUUAAGAGUUCAUAGCAGAAUCCAUCAAAUGAGCCUACUAAGGAGAAAGAAGGCGUAAGAUUUCUCCUAAUAGCAACAACAAAAUACCUGUGCACAUAUGCAUAUGGAAUUUGCAUACCAGUUUAGAGCAGGCUGGCUAGCUGUCUGUUUUUGUAAAUAAAGUUUUAUCGGAACAUGGCCUUGCCCACCUGUUAAUGGAUCAUCUAUGGCUGCUUUUGCUCCGCAACAUUAGAGAUGAGUGUUUGGGACAGAGACCAUACAGCCUACAAAGCCUAAGAUAGUUUCUACCUGGUUGUUUAAGGAAAAACUUGCUGACUCCUAUUUGAUGGCAGUGGGAGGUGGGGGGGGGACAGUUACAAACCCUCCAAAAUCUUUUUUAACACUCAGGGGUCUAUGGACCUCAGAUUAAGAACUUCUGAAUCUCGACCCUAUUGCUUUAUGUAAAUACAGGGUUAUCUUAUGUCCACACAUCUGGUCCAUUGUUCCUUGAUCCUGUGCCCCAUUGUAAAUCCUUUAAGGCAGGCAGUACUAAGAGCACAGUCUCUGGAGUUCAAAAGAUCUGUGUUUUAAUCCAGACUUUUGCUCCUCAUUGUGUGACCUUGAAGUUAAAGAACUUCACAGCCGCCUUCGUCAUUGAAAAAUGAGUCAAUGGUGGCUACCCCAAAAGACUGUUGUGAGGGUUAAAUACACGUAAAACCUUAGCAGAGUGCUGGACACGUAGUAAGCGCUUCAUAAAUGAUAGUGCUCAUGGUGCUGAUGGUGAAGGGGAGGAAGAAAGAGAAGGAGAAGUGUAAGUAGAUCCUCCUGGUGCCUCUGAGGCCCCUGUGAAGGCCAGUUUCCUCUGCAGUUUCAUAGUUUCACUUGGGAGAGUAGAGGGUUUGUUCAUCUGUUAAAUGAUGGUGAAACUCAGAUGGUUAAAAGCUCCAGGCUCCUUCAGAACCUUCAUGAGACAGAAUAAUAAGGUCUACCUGAGACCAGCUGUGGGCUGUUUUCUCUUUCCCUGUUAUAGUUGGUAAGUAGACACGUGCUUGGGGAAAAGGGGGGUUUGCUCUCAAGUGACCCUCGAUCGUAUAGCAAAGGGAACUAUAUUCAAUAGCUUGAAUUAACCUAUAAUGAAAAAGAAUAUGAAAAAAAUAUAUGUGUUUAACUGAAUCGCUAUGCUGCUCAACAUUUUAAGACAGCUGUACUUCAAUAAAAUAAAGUGAUCCUUGAAAGGAAACCAUGAACUAUCAUGAACCUACUAAGGUCAUUACCAGGAGUAGGGAUAAUAUAAAAUAGAAGCAUUCUCUGCCACGAACGGUGUCUUUUCCUUAGCCAAGUUUGUGUGCUGAAUGCAAAAAAUCGCACGCUUGGAUGGGAUUCUGCUGAAGAUUAUUUACUUAAUCUCUGAAAUACUGUGAAAACUGGGAGUGAGUUAUUUCACAUUCUUAACAUGUUUGGCUAAGUAUGCAGAUUCAUUUCCUGUCCCUGGCCUUCGUUUUUAAAAGCUCAACUCCUGGUAAAUUCUACGACAUUCUGAACCCACCACUUUCUAGAUGUGUAAUCUUGAACCAGUUUCUUGUCUCUGAGCCUCAGGAGCUGCCUGUAUAGAAUGGGGAUACUAAUUUUACCUUCCUUAGGGUUAUUCUGAGUGUUACAGAAUGUCAUAUAUAAUGUGUUUAGCAUUGUGCUCUGCCCAGAGAAAAUAAUAAAUGUUAGCUGUUGUUAUUACUA